CGGUCCUGGGGAGUGCAGUGUGAGCAGGGGAAGGGCUGUGGCCUGAAGGCGGAUUCCCAUGCUGGUCAGGGUCAGGGUCAGGGCUUGGGGUUAGCC
Ceratotherium simum simum (southern white rhinoceros) is the source of this 96-nucleotide non-coding RNA. The record is from RefSeq and is a predicted model, not a curated record. Lineage: Eukaryota; Metazoa; Chordata; Mammalia; Perissodactyla; Rhinocerotidae.